CCGAAACUCUUCUUUCUUUUUCACUCUUCGAAUCCAGCAAUCACAAGUCCAUUGUACAGCUCUUGCAGAAGGUCAAUAAAGGGUUUCCAGUUCCUGUAAAACCUAUCAACUGUCUUAUUUCUCAAAAGAUUUGUCAGUUUGUCCAUCUCGGCAAGCUCCAUCAUUUUGCCUGCCCUUUGAUCUUCAACCUUCAGCAAAGAGCCUUAUAACAAUUCAUGAAAAAAAGUGCAUGUAUGAAUAAAAAUCCAACAGCAUCAGCAGAGCCAUGCAGAAGUCUUUUUGAAGGUGCCUAAUAAUAACUGCUUCCAUCAAAUUAGAACACAAGAGCAGCCCUGCUGGAUCAGGCCACAGCUCAUUAAGUCCUCCAUCCUGUCUCACACAGCGGCCCACCAGUUCCUUCUGGGCAUUCUCAAGCAGAGGACAAAGGCAAUACCUUCACCUGCUCUCAACUCCCUGCAAAUAGCCUCUAGAGCCAUCCUGCCUGUCUGGGCAUCAAUUCUGCUAGC
Molecule: long non-coding RNA, 506 nt
Filed under: Salvator merianae (Argentine black and white tegu)
Lineage: Eukaryota; Metazoa; Chordata; Lepidosauria; Squamata; Teiidae
Description: lncRNA (ENSSMRG00000001641.1)
Source: RNAcentral